UGGGGAAUAUUGCACAAUGGGCGCAAGCCUGAUGCAGCCAUGCCGCGUGUAUGAAGAAGGCCUUCGGGUUGUAAAGUACUUUCAGCGGGGAGGAAGGGAGUAAAGUUAAUACCUUUGCUCAUUGACGUUACCGGCAGAAGAAGCACGGGCAAACUCGGUGCCAGCAGCCGCGGUAAUACGGAGGGUGCAAGCGUUAAUCGGAAUUACUGGGCGUAAAGCGCACGCAGGCGGUUUGUUAAGUCAGAUGUGAAAUCCCCGGGCUCAACCUGGGAACUGCAUCUGAUACUGGCAAGCUUGAGUCUCGUAGAGGGGGGUAGAAUUCCAGGUGUAGCGGUGAAAUGCGUAGAGAUCUGGAGGAAUACCGGUGGCGAAGGCGGCCCCCUGGACAAAGACUGACGCUCAGGUGCGAAAGCGUGGGGAGCAAACAGG
RNAcentral lists this ribosomal RNA (429 nucleotides) under Chloroflexota bacterium. RNAcentral describes it as "Chloroflexi bacterium partial 16S ribosomal RNA". It matches the Rfam family "Bacterial small subunit ribosomal RNA", at positions 355 to 776 of the family's 1533-position model. The record is from RNAcentral. Lineage: Bacteria; Bacillati; Chloroflexota.